ACGAUCAUACUUUUAGGGAUCAUUUCUAUAGUGUGCAUUUUGAAAACGUCAUCAAAUUAUGACGAAACCUUAACUAUACGAUGAUGAGUUGUAGGAAUUCCCUCUGAGCAUGAAGCUUGGUUCGUUGUAUCUUCGGAUGUUGCGAACUAUUGAGGAUUGUUCUUGGAUUUCCAUUCGGAGAUCUGGGAGGAAGGAAUCUCCGGCUGAGUAGU
Molecule: non-coding RNA, 212 nt
Organism: Ciona savignyi (Pacific transparent sea squirt)
Lineage: Eukaryota; Metazoa; Chordata; Ascidiacea; Phlebobranchia; Cionidae
Source: Rfam